UGGGGAAUAUUGCACAAUGGGGGAAACCCUGAUGCAGCCAUGCCGCGUGUGUGAAGAAGGCCUUCGGGUUGUAAAGCACUUUCAGCGAGGAGGAAAGGUUGUUGGCUAAUACCCAGCAACUGUGACGUUACUCGCAGAAGAAGCACCCGGCUAACUCCGUGC
RNAcentral lists this ribosomal RNA (162 nucleotides) under uncultured bacterium. RNAcentral describes it as "partial 16S ribosomal RNA". It matches the Rfam family "Bacterial small subunit ribosomal RNA", at positions 355 to 508 of the family's 1533-position model. The record is from RNAcentral.